RNAcentral lists this long non-coding RNA (589 nucleotides) under Sorghum bicolor (sorghum). RNAcentral describes it as "long non-coding RNA (SBIC_LNC010596)". Lineage: Eukaryota; Viridiplantae; Streptophyta; Magnoliopsida; Poales; Poaceae. The record is from RNAcentral.
AUGCGAAGCCAAGACUAGACUCAUAUGAAUAGUGUUACUGGGCUGUUGCGUGAUUCAUGGAAACUCUAGGGUUCCCGGUGCAAGAUCUGUUUUCCUUUUCUUUUGUUUUUUUGCAGAUCUUAUGGGUGAAAUUUGGAAAUGCAUAGAAAUUCGUAGAUAAGUCGAAAAAUAGCAAAUGUGGACUUUUUGGAAUCCUUAUGAAAUUCUAUAUGCAGUAGAUCUAUAUUAUUGCAUGUUUUAGUAUGAAGUUUUAACGGUAAAAAUAGAUUUGUGCAGUUCGGUUUUAAUUGCUUGUUAUAAUUGUCUUUUUCAUAACCACUGUAUUAUUGCUCAAAUAAAUGUGAAAAUACUGUGACAAGCUUUUCAUAUGAUGUUUGAUGUCUGGUAAAUGUUUCAUGAAUUUAGGCAUGAUAGAUUGGGAGUUAUAAAAAUAACAAAUGCCCUGUGUUGCUUUGCUCCUAUUCUGAGUAGAUCUGCAUGUUUGUAUUGUUUGGCUCAGUUAGGUUGUGAAUCAUGCCUGGAUGAAAAUGUAUAUGUUUUAGUACUUUUCAUAAGCUUUCCAAAAAGAUAAAUAGCACAAUUUUUGGUU